GUCAGGAUGGCUGAGCGGUCUAAGGCGCUGCGUUUAGGUCGCAGUCUCCAAUGGAGGCGUGGGUUCGAAUCCCACUUCUGACA
Molecule: non-coding RNA, 83 nt
Organism: Xiphophorus maculatus (southern platyfish)
Lineage: Eukaryota; Metazoa; Chordata; Actinopteri; Cyprinodontiformes; Poeciliidae
Source: Rfam